AUUGAACGCUGGCGGCAUGCCCUACACAUGCAAGUCGAACGCGAAAGGGGGGCAACCCCCGAGUAGAGUGGCGCACGGGUGAGUAAUGCAUCGGAACGUGUCCAGUAGCGGGGGAUAACCUAGCGAAAGCUAGGCUAAUACCGCAUACGCCCUAAGGGGGAAAGUGGGGGAUCGUAAGACCUCACACUAUAGGAGCGGCCGAUGCCGGAUUAGCUAGUUGGUGGGGUAAAAGCUCACCAAGGCGACGAUCCGUAGCUGGUCUGAGAGGAUGAUCAGCCACACUGGGACUGAGACACGGCCCAGACUCCUACGGGAGGCAGCAGUGGGGAAUUUUGGACAAUGGGGGAAACCCUGAUCCAGCCAUGCCGCGUGAGUGAAGAAGGCCUUCGGGUUGUAAAGCUCUUUCGGCCGGGACGAAAUCGCACGCGUGAAUAUCGUGUGCGGAUGACGGUACCGGCAGAAGAAGGACCGGCUAACUACGUGCCAGCCGCCGCAGUAA
This 499-nucleotide ribosomal RNA is filed under the name uncultured bacterium. RNAcentral describes it as "partial 16S ribosomal RNA". It matches the Rfam family "Bacterial small subunit ribosomal RNA", at positions 29 to 523 of the family's 1533-position model. The record is from RNAcentral.